Molecule: ribosomal RNA, 370 nt
Filed under: uncultured organism
Description: bacterial SSU rRNA
Rfam family: Bacterial small subunit ribosomal RNA
Source: RNAcentral
CGUAGGGUGCGAGCGUUAAUCGGAAUUACUGGGCGUAAAGCGUGCGCAGGCGGUUUUGUAAGACAGGCGUGAAAUCCCCGGGCUCAACCUGGGAACUGCGCUUGUGACUGCAAGGCUAGAGUACGGCAGAGGGGGUGGAAUUCCACGUGUAGCAGUGAAAUGCGUAGAGAUGUGGAGGAACACCAAUGGCGAAGGCAGCCCCCUGGGUCGAUACUGACGCUCAUGCACGAAAGCGUGGGUAGCAAACAGGAUUAGAUACCCUGGUAGUCCACGCCCUAAACGAUGUCAACUAGGUGUUGGGUGGUAAAACCAUUUAGUACCGGAGCUAACGCGUGAAGUUGACCGCCUGGGGAGUACGGCCGCAAGGUUA